Long non-coding RNA from Tripterygium wilfordii, 887 nucleotides. RefSeq lists it as uncharacterized. NCBI's taxonomy places the organism in Eukaryota, Viridiplantae, Streptophyta, Magnoliopsida, Celastrales, Celastraceae. The transcript has 3 exons. The record is from RefSeq and is a predicted model, not a curated record.
GUAUCUUUCUCACCGCGUUACUCCAUCAAUCGUUGUACCGCAUUGCAUUACUGUGGGAAUUGUGGUUGGAAAUGACAGAACUCUUCGUUUGAUUUAUAGCUCAGAAUAAGAUGAGGACUUAGAUCUUCCCACGUCUUGCUGAGUGGGCAAAGUUUUUCCUCUGUUGGUGUUCAUAUGGAUCGGAGAAGAUGAAGAUGGUGACGAUGAGGCAGAUGAGAAGCGAUUCUUCUGAGUUUAUUUUCCAAGAACUGAGCGUGGCCAUCCCACUUUCUGCUGAUCCAAAGUGCCACAUGGAGUUACCAAUUCAUGAAUCACAUCUCCAAAUGCUCUCUGGGACCCGGUUGCUCAGGAAGGAGUCAUGAACCUUCCCAAUCUAAGGGAAGAAAUUGAAGAGAACCAAGGGCCUAUUGCAAUUGUGUAUUCAAUUUUUGCAGAACGACCAAGAUUCUAAUAUAUUUUUUCUGGGAGCAACCUUUUCUGAACCACGGGAGUUCUCUAAUGAGGACAUACAUUUACUCGUGUAAUAGAAGUGGGUAAUGUACACACUACACAGAGUCACAGACCCAACAAAAUUUUUCUCCUUAAUCCUGGCAGAAUGGGAAUUUCCAAGAACCAGUCGAAGUGGGCAAUGUCAACAUAUUGUAGUGGCAAGUAAACACGAGGCAAUUGCACGCUUUUAGCACUAUGAGAAGAGAAGAGGAGAAGCCAGGAUCCUUUUACCCAACAAGUAUCUUCUAUGUAGUCCGAUUACAGUUUAAAGGUGCAUGAUUACCAAUAAUUUUGGCUUAUAAAAUUAGAUCUUGACGAUCAUAUCCGCCAGUAUAAAGAACCAAAUGGGUGAUUGAUUGCUUAAUCACUUUUUAUCUUAAUUGACAUGAAAGCAUAUU